This 497-nucleotide ribosomal RNA is filed under the name uncultured bacterium. Its description in RNAcentral is "partial 16S ribosomal RNA". It matches the Rfam family "Bacterial small subunit ribosomal RNA", at positions 28 to 507 of the family's 1533-position model. The record is from RNAcentral.
GAUGAACGCUGGCGGCGUGCCUAAUACAUGCAAGUCGAGCGAACGGACGAGAAGCUUUCUUCUCUGAUGUUAGCGGCUGACGUGUGAGUAACACGUGGAUAACCUACCUAUAAGACUGGUAUAACUUCGUGAAACCGGAGCUAAUACCGGAUAAUAUUUUGAACCGCAUGGUUCAAUAGUUAAAGACGGUCUUUCUUUCACUUAUAGAUGGUUCCGCGCUGCAUUAUCUAGUUGGUAAGGUAACGGCUUACCAAGGCAACGAUGCAUAGCCGACCUGAGAGGGUGAUCGGCCACACUGGAACGGAGACACGGUACAGACUCCGACGGGAGGCAGCAGUAGGGAAUCUUCCGCAAUGGGCGAAAGCCUGACGGAGCAACGCCGCGUGAGUGAUGAAGGUCUUCGGAUCGUAAAACUCUGUUAUUAGGGAAGAACAAAUGUGUAAGUAACUAUGCACGUAUUGACGGUAACUAAUCAGAAAGCCACGGCUAACUACGUG